AUACGGAGGAUCCGAGCGUUAUCCGGAUUUAUUGGGUUUAAAGGGAGCGUAGGCGGGGGUUUAAGUCAGCUGUGAAAUGCCGUGGCCCAACCAUGGAACUGCAGUUGAAACUGGACCUCUUGAGAGUACAUAAGGAAGGCGGAAUUCGUGGUGUAGCGGUGAAAUGCAUAGAUAUCACGAAGAACUCCGAUUGCGAAGGCAGCUUUCCGGGGUACAUCUGACGCUGAAGCUCGAAAGUGCGGGAAUCAAACAGGAUUAGAUACCCUGGUAGUCCGCACCGUAAACGAUGGACACUCGCUUUUGGCGAUAGACAGUCAGGAGCCAAGUGAAAACGUUAAGUGUCCCACCUGGGGAGUACGCCGGCAACGGUGAA
This 373-nucleotide ribosomal RNA is filed under the name uncultured bacterium. Its description in RNAcentral is "bacterial SSU rRNA". It matches the Rfam family "Bacterial small subunit ribosomal RNA", at positions 523 to 898 of the family's 1533-position model. The record is from RNAcentral.